AUUUAAGUAGCUUAAACUAAAGCUUAGUAUUGAAGAUACUAUGAUGACUAUUUAUAGUCUUUAAAUA
Molecule: transfer RNA, 67 nt
Filed under: Salganea quinquedentata
Lineage: Eukaryota; Metazoa; Arthropoda; Insecta; Blattodea; Blaberidae
Description: tRNA-Phe
Source: RNAcentral